This 253-nucleotide ribosomal RNA is filed under the name uncultured bacterium. RNAcentral describes it as "partial 16S ribosomal RNA". It matches the Rfam family "Bacterial small subunit ribosomal RNA", at positions 524 to 776 of the family's 1533-position model. The record is from RNAcentral.
UACGAAGGGGGCUAGCGUUGCUCGGAUUGACUGGGCGUAAAGGGCGCGUAGGCGGUUCGUACAGUCAGACGUGAAAUUCCUGGGCUCAACCUGGGGGCUGCGUUUGAUACGUGCGGGCUUGAGUGCGGAAGAGGGUCGUGGAAUUCCCAGUGUAGAGGUGAAAUUCGUAGAUAUCAAGAGGAACACCUGAGGUGAAGACGGGUUGCUGGGCUGACACUGACGCUGAGGCGCGAAAGCCAGGGGAGCAAACGGG